GCUCAACAAUUUCUCUCUUUCUCUUUCUCAACUCAACAAUUUCUAAACCUAUAAACCUUGAUCCUCUAAUAUCAUCAUCAUUUUUCAAAUGUCUUCUUCUUCCGUAGAAUCAGUUCGUGAACUUCUCAACAAACCAUGGAAAAUUGUUCCCUUUCCCACCAUCAAAUCCAGCGAUCUCUUCUCUCUCUUCCUCAAAGUGUUUUUAUGCUUCUCUUCUUUUAGAUUUAUUCUUGUUUUGUAUCCUUCUUGGACUUUGAUUUUCCGUAAAAAUUGGGUUUUUUAAAUCUUUGUGUCCCUUAUACUUUGAUUUUCUGGUAUUUAACAUUUUAACCUUACAACUCACAUAGAAGCAAAUUGUUUUUUUAAUGCACUCCAGAUGUUUGAUAAAAUGCUUGUUUGAAAUAAUUUGUUCUUUAGGUACUGGUGUAGCAGGAGCUUAAGUGCAAAUGAACUAGGUACUGCUGCUGCUGAUUUUCGGAUGCCCGAGUUAUUUUCUAGACCAGUUAGCUGAAAUUGGCAAAUGAACCAGGCACCGCUGUCGAAGACCAGUUAAAUGAAAUUGGUACUAGUGUCGAAGACUAGCGGGAAAUUCUGUCAAAUACUAACUGAAAUUGAUGCUUAGUUUAAUGUAGUUGCGAUUUGUGACAAAGCUCACUAGUGCUUAGUUUGUAUUCACUAUGCUUACACAUUGUAGAUGAAAGAACUUGGCACUGCCUUGAUUAUGUCGAAGAUGUAGAUUGUAAAUGGGGGUUAGCUCUAUUUGUAGAGUCAUUCACAUUGUAAAUGGGUAAAUGAAGGUUAGCUCUAUUUGUAGAGUGAUUCACAUUGUAAAUGGGAGUUAGCUCUAUCUUUGUACAAAUUGUAAUUAUCAUCUUAUAUUAAAUGAAGAAGUUUGAUUGAAUUGUCUCAAUAUUUAC
This 917-nucleotide long non-coding RNA is filed under the name Trifolium pratense (red clover). RNAcentral's name for it is "long non-coding RNA (TPRA_LNC014178)". The record is from RNAcentral. Lineage: Eukaryota; Viridiplantae; Streptophyta; Magnoliopsida; Fabales; Fabaceae.